GUACUCACUCCAGCAGCACAGGUGCUAAAUUUGGAACAAUACCAAAAAGAUUGGUGCGGUCCCUGUAUAAGCAUGAUGCAGAAAUUAGUGAAGUAUUCUAUACAUGU
Ictidomys tridecemlineatus (thirteen-lined ground squirrel) is the source of this 107-nucleotide small nuclear RNA. The record is from Ensembl. Lineage: Eukaryota; Metazoa; Chordata; Mammalia; Rodentia; Sciuridae.